This 466-nucleotide ribosomal RNA is filed under the name uncultured bacterium. RNAcentral describes it as "SSU rRNA". It matches the Rfam family "Bacterial small subunit ribosomal RNA", at positions 26 to 521 of the family's 1533-position model. The record is from RNAcentral.
AGCCUGAACGCUGGCGGCGUGGCUAAGACAUGCAAGUCGUACGGUGUAGCAAUACACAGUGGCGAACGGGAGAGUAAUGAAUCGCUAAUGUGCCCCGGACUCUGGGAUAGCCAGUCGAAAGAUUGGGUAAUACCAGAUGACAUAUCUUUAUCGCAUGAUAGAGAUCUCAAAGGUCCGCCGGUCUGGGAGCAGGCGAUUUCGUAUCAGCUAGUUGGUGAGGUAACGGCUCACCAAGGCGACGACGCGUAGCCGGACUGAGAGGUUGGCCGGCCUCAUUGGGACUGAGACACUGCCCAGACUCCUACGGGGGGCUGCAGUAACGAAUCUUCCGCAAUGCACGAAAGUGUGACGGAGCGACGCCGCGUGUGGGACGAAGUCCUUCGGGAUGUAAACCACUGUCAGGGGUUACCAAGUUCUGAGGAGCCCCAGAGGAAGGGACGGCUAACUCUGUGCCAGCAGCCGCGGU